Non-coding RNA from Delphinapterus leucas (beluga whale), 73 nucleotides. The record is from the annotation of a RefSeq genome assembly. Lineage: Eukaryota; Metazoa; Chordata; Mammalia; Artiodactyla; Monodontidae.
GCCUGGCUAGCUCAAUCGGUACAGCAUGAGACUCUUAAUCUCAGGGUUGUGGGUGCGAGCCCCACGUUAGACA